CUGAGAACUUGCCCUUAAGGGGUAGAUCUCCCACCCUCUGUUUACAUACUCUGUUGCUUUGGCAGGCCAGCUUUGGCUGCUGGCUUCUUGCUAGCUUGUGCCUGCCAAAGAGCCAACAUCCUGAUUAAUUAUGCUGUCUGAGUACUACAAAAUAUAUAAA
RNAcentral lists this unclassified non-coding RNA (160 nucleotides) under uncultured Helotiales. RNAcentral's name for it is "sequence contains ITS1". The record is from RNAcentral. Lineage: Eukaryota; Fungi; Ascomycota; Leotiomycetes; Helotiales.